This 253-nucleotide ribosomal RNA is filed under the name uncultured bacterium. Its description in RNAcentral is "partial 16S ribosomal RNA". It matches the Rfam family "Bacterial small subunit ribosomal RNA", at positions 524 to 776 of the family's 1533-position model. The record is from RNAcentral.
UACAGAGGGUGCAAGCGUUAAUCGGAGUUACUGGGCGUAAAGGGCGCGUAGGCGGCUUUAUAAGUCGGGGGUGAAAGCCUGUGGCUCAACCACAGAAUUGCCUUCGAUACUGUAGAGCUUGAGACCGGAAGAGGUAAGUGGAACUGCGAGUGUAGAGGUGAAAUUCGUAGAUAUUCGCAAGAACACCAGUGGCGAAGGCGGCUUACUGGUCCGGUUCUGACGCUGAGGCGCGAAAGCGUGGGGAGCGAUCCGG